GAACAAAGCUAUGUACACAAAGCCAGGUUUGAUGACAAAAUCUCAGGGAUACAAAUUCACUAAUAUUCCCAUAAAAACCCCACAUGAGGAAAAGAAUAGGAUCUUGUAGUACUUUUAAAUAAUUUAGUAAUUUCCUCUGGUCUGGAUGUAAAGAAAACCAAACAUUUUUCAAUGUCAUGUUAAGAAGAUGAGAAGAAAAAGUAUAUUUAGGAAAACAGCACUCCUUUAACAAAUGAUGUAAUUUUUGUUUCCCUCAUACAAACUGAAACAAUGAAAAAGUACAAAAUAUAUCUAUACUAUGUAUCUUUGUAAUCCUCUAUAUCUGAGCAGUCUCUUCAGGAUAAAGACAUGGCUGAAAAUUCUGAAAUAAAGUUCUAGGCUACAGAGGUCUUAGAAGUUAGCAGGGUCAAGACAGCACGAAUAUGGAGUGUGUUCAGGACUAAUGUUGAGUUUGCUCUUGUGGAUUACUACAUGAAGACCAAAGGAAAACUUGUUUUAAGUCACCAGUUCAACAUUCCACUCAAUACCUGCUUUCUUAAAACAGUGGUUUGCAUGAUUUUUGCUUCAACAGCAAGAUUCAGUGUUCAAAAUGAAUCAUAUGCUCUAGUCCAACAUAUACAUAACCAAGAUCAAAAACAAGGACUUCUAGUUGAGCUUUAAAAACAGGAAGAGAGUGGGGCUCCCUGCUAUUUAUCCCUGCCCUUCUUAGCUCUUCUAGCCUCCUGCCCUCCGAAUGCCAAAGGGAUUCCACGGAUGCUAUCAUGGAAGGGACUAACAGGGAUACUGUCAUUACCUUACACAGAACACAUUUUCCCACAGAAACCAUUUCAUGGAUAAUGUUACAACUCCCCACAUACUUCAAAAGCCAAGUCAGCCUGUUUUCAAAGAGGGAAGGCUUCAGCAAGGCAACACACAGAACUAAGGAGAUUCUGAGAGCUACCAACUGAUUCCAGGGCCAGACCAGUAAUGUUUAGGUCUUUAAGGCUAUCAGUACCACAGGACAGGUUAGAUGUGUUGGAGACAGGCUUCCCAUGCCGUGCCCCUGUGACCUUAAUAGAGCUUCCAUAUCCUCAUCUUUAAAUAGGAAUACCACUACCCAUGUCAGAGGUUUAGGAGCAUGAAAGGCCAUAGUAUGCACAGAGUGCCUCGUGUUCAGUGCAGGCCGACUGUGAGCACGUGUCCGCCUUCCUUCUGAAGCAUUAGGUCUGAGCCAGAAGAUAUAUCUGUCCUUAAAGAAUACUAUCAUUUUUUGAGGACAAUAUGCCACUACAUGUUAACUUCUUUAAUCAUUAUCAGUGUUAUUAAGAACUAUUUUACAUAUUAUAAAAUUCACCCAUUUCAAGGGUACAAUUUAAUGAUUUUUACUAAGUUUAAAGAGUUGUGUAAUCAUUGCCACAAAUCACUUUUACAGUGUUCCCAUCACCCCCAAAAGAUCUCUAGGGCCCAUUUUCAGUCUCACUAUUCCCACGCCCAAACCCAGGCAGCCACUGAACUACUAUAGAUAUUUACUGGACGUUUCAUGUAAAUGGAUUCAUAUGAUAAGUGGCUUUUUAUAUUUGGCUUCUCUCCACCAUAAUG
Molecule: long non-coding RNA, 1578 nt
Filed under: Marmota monax (woodchuck)
Lineage: Eukaryota; Metazoa; Chordata; Mammalia; Rodentia; Sciuridae
Source: RNAcentral